This 484-nucleotide ribosomal RNA is filed under the name uncultured bacterium. RNAcentral describes it as "partial 16S ribosomal RNA". It matches the Rfam family "Bacterial small subunit ribosomal RNA", at positions 30 to 507 of the family's 1533-position model. The record is from RNAcentral.
AUUGAACGCUGGCGGCAUGCCUUACACAUGCAAGUCGAACGGUAACAGGUCUUUCGGGAUGCUGACGAGUGGCGAACGGGUGAGUAAUACAUCGGAACGUGCCUAGUAGUGGGGGAUAACUACUCGAAAGAGUGGCUAAUACCGCAUGAGAUCUAUGGAUGAAAGCAGGGGACCUUUGGGCCUUGUGCUACUAGAGCGGCCGAUGGCAGAUUAGGUAGUUGGUGGGAUAAAAGCUUACCAAGCCUACGAUCUGUAGCUGGUCUGAGAGGACGAUCAGCCACACUGGGACUGAGACACGGCCCAGACUCCUACGGGAGGCAGCAGUGGGGAAUCUUGGACAAUGGGCGCAAGCCUGAUCCAGCAAUGCCGCGUGCAGGAUGAAGGCCUUCGGGUUGUAAACUGCUUUUGUACGGAACGAAAAGUCUUGGGUUAAUACCCUGGGAUCAUGACGGUACCGGAAGAAUAAGCACCGGCUAACUACGUG